GACGAAGGUUGCGAGCGUUGUUCGGAAUCACUGGGCUUAAAGCGCAUGUAGGCGGACAAGAAAGCUUUUUGUGAAAUACCCCGGCUUAACCGGGGAAUUGCUUGGAGAACUACUUGUCUUGAGGCAAGCAGGGGUGCAUGGAACUCUUGGUGGAGCGGUGGAAUGCGUAGAUAUCAAGAGGAACGCCAGCGGAGAAAUCGGUGCACUGGGCUUGUUCUGACGCUGAGAUGCGAAAGCGUGGGGAGCAAACGGG
Molecule: ribosomal RNA, 253 nt
Filed under: uncultured bacterium
Lineage: Bacteria
Description: partial 16S ribosomal RNA
Rfam family: Bacterial small subunit ribosomal RNA
Source: RNAcentral